Molecule: transfer RNA, 77 nt
Filed under: Streptomyces sp. MJM1172
Lineage: Bacteria; Bacillati; Actinomycetota; Actinomycetes; Kitasatosporales; Streptomycetaceae
Description: tRNA-Leu
Rfam family: tRNA
About the family: Transfer RNA (tRNA) molecules are approximately 80 nucleotides in length. Their secondary structure includes four short double-helical elements and three loops (D, anti-codon, and T loops).
Source: RNAcentral
GCCCGCUUAGGCAAACUGGCAAAGCCGCUCGGCUUAGACCCGAGAGUUUGGGGGUUCGACUCCCCCAGUGGGUACCA